UACGGAGGGUGCGAGCGUUGUCCGGAAUCACUGGGCGUAAAGGGCGCGUAGGUGGCCCGUUAAGUGGCUGGUGAAAUCCCGCGGCUCAACUGCGGGGCUGCCGGUCAUACUGGCGAGCUAGAGCACGGUAGGGGCAGAUGGAAUUCCCGGUGUAGCGGUGGAAUGCGUAGAGAUCGGGAAGAAUACCAGUGGCGAAGGCGUUCUGCUGGGCCGUUGCUGACACUGAGGCGCGACAGCUAGGGGAGCAAACAGG
This 253-nucleotide ribosomal RNA is filed under the name uncultured bacterium. RNAcentral describes it as "partial 16S ribosomal RNA". It matches the Rfam family "Bacterial small subunit ribosomal RNA", at positions 524 to 776 of the family's 1533-position model. The record is from RNAcentral.